GAUCAUGGCUCAGGAUGAACGCUAGCGACAGGCUUAACACAUGCAAGUCGAGGGGCAGCAUAAAAGUAGCAAUACUUGGUGGCGACCGGCGCACGGUGAGUAACGCGUAUGCAACCUACCUAUCAGAGGGGAAUAACCCGGCGAAAGUCGGACUAAUACCGCAUAAAACAGGGACACCGCAUGGUGAUAUUUGUUAAAGAAAUUCGCUGAUAGAUGGGCAUGCGUUCCAUUAGGUAGUUGGUGAGGUAACGGCUCACCAAGCCGACGAUGGAUAGGGGAACUGAGAGGUUGGUCCCCCACACUGGUACUGAGACACGGACCAGACUCCUACGGGAGGCAGCAGUGAGGAAUAUUGGUCAAUGGGCGAGAGCCUGAACCAGCCAAGUCGCGUGAAGGAAAAGAAGGAUCUAUGGUUCCUAAACUUCUUUUGCAGGGGAAUAAAGUGCAGGACGUGUCCUGUUUUGUAUGUACCCUGAGAAUAAGGAUCGGCUAACUCCGUGCCAGCAGCUGC
Molecule: ribosomal RNA, 511 nt
Filed under: uncultured bacterium
Lineage: Bacteria
Description: bacterial SSU rRNA
Rfam family: Bacterial small subunit ribosomal RNA
Source: RNAcentral